UACGGAGGAUGCGAGCGUUAUCCGGAUUUAUUGGGUUUAAAGGGUGCGCAGGCGGAUUUUUAAGUCAGCGGUCAAAGCCCGGGGCUCAACCCCGGCCCGCCGUUGAAACUGACAGUCUCGAGUUGGAGAGAAGUAUGCGGAAUGCGCGGUGUAGCGGUGAAAUGCAUAGAUAUCGCGCAGAACUCCGAUUGCGAAGGCAGCAUACCGGCGCCCGACUGACGCUGAGGCACGAAAGUGCGGGUAUCGAACAGG
RNAcentral lists this ribosomal RNA (252 nucleotides) under uncultured Bacteroidales bacterium. Its description in RNAcentral is "partial 16S ribosomal RNA". It matches the Rfam family "Bacterial small subunit ribosomal RNA", at positions 524 to 776 of the family's 1533-position model. Lineage: Bacteria; Pseudomonadati; Bacteroidota; Bacteroidia; Bacteroidales. The record is from RNAcentral.